GUGGCAGAUUAGUGCAAUGGAUUUAAAAUCCUACUAUAAAGAUACCCUCUUUUAUUAAAA
This 60-nucleotide transfer RNA is filed under the name Temnothorax americanus. RNAcentral describes it as "tRNA-Leu". The record is from RNAcentral. Lineage: Eukaryota; Metazoa; Arthropoda; Insecta; Hymenoptera; Formicidae.